GGACUACUAGGGUUUCUAAUCCCGUUCGCUCCCCACGCUUUCGCGCCUCAGCGUCAGGCUCGACCCAGAAGGCCGCCUUCGCCACUGGUAUUCCUCCGGAUCUCUACGCAUUUCACCGCUACACCCGGAAUUCUACCUUCCUCUAUCGGCCUCAAGAAGCCCAGUUUGCAGCCACCCUCCCCGGUUGAGCCGGGGGCUUUCAGGCCACACUUAAGCUUCCGCCUACGCGCUCUUUACGCCCAGUAAAUCCGGACAACGCUUGCCCCCUACGUAUUACCGCGGCUGCUGGCAC
This 292-nucleotide ribosomal RNA is filed under the name uncultured bacterium. RNAcentral describes it as "partial 16S ribosomal RNA". The record is from RNAcentral.